GCAGUAGCCGCGGUAAUACGUAGGGUGCAAGCGUUAAUCGGAAUUACUGGGCGUAAAGCGUGCGCAGGCGGUUAUAUAAGUCAGAUUUGAAAUCCCCGGGCUCAACCUGGGAACUGCAUUUGAGACUGUAUGGCUAGAGUGUGUCAGGGGGGGGUAGAAUUCCACGUGUAGCAGUGAAAUGCGUAGAUAUGUGGAGGAAUACCGAUGGCGAAGGCAGCCCCCUGGGAUAACACUGACGCUCAUGCACGAAAGCGUGGGGAGCAAACAGGAUUAGAUACCCCUGUAGUCCCUGUCUCUUAUAC
Molecule: ribosomal RNA, 302 nt
Filed under: uncultured bacterium
Lineage: Bacteria
Description: partial 16S ribosomal RNA
Rfam family: Bacterial small subunit ribosomal RNA
Source: RNAcentral